This 267-nucleotide ribosomal RNA is filed under the name uncultured bacterium. Its description in RNAcentral is "partial 16S ribosomal RNA". It matches the Rfam family "Bacterial small subunit ribosomal RNA", at positions 355 to 637 of the family's 1533-position model. The record is from RNAcentral.
UGGGGAAUAUUGGGCAAUGGGGGAAACCCUGACCCAGCGACGCCGCGUGAGGGAAGACGGCCUUCGGGUUGUAAACCUCUUUUGUACGGGAAGAAGGAAGUGACGGUACUGUACGAAUAAGUCCCGGCUAACUACGUGCCAGCAGCCGCGGUAAUACGUAGGGGACGAGCGUUGUCCGGAAUUACUGGGCGUAAAGGGCGCGCAGGCUGUGCUGCAAGUCAGCUGUGAAAUGUCUGGGCUUAACCCGGGCAUGCGGUUGAGACUGCA